RNAcentral lists this ribosomal RNA (657 nucleotides) under uncultured fungus. Its description in RNAcentral is "eukaryotic LSU rRNA". The stretch from base 289 to 443 matches the Rfam family "5.8S ribosomal RNA". Lineage: Eukaryota; Fungi. The record is from RNAcentral.
AAGUCGUAACAAGGUUUCCGUAGGUGAACCUGCGGAAGGAUCAUUACCGAGUUAGGGUCUCCCUCGUGGGGCCCGACCUCCCAACCCUGUGUCUAAUAAACCUGUAUGUGUUGCUUCGGCGGAACGGCAGUCGGCCCUUCGGGGUGCAGACAGUCGCCGGGGGGUUCACGGCCGUGAGGCUGCCCCUGGAGAGUUUCCGCCGAUGGCCCAACCAAACAAACUCCCAAACCAAAAUUGUAACACCUAAAACUUCUGAAACAAACCUUUUGAUAUACCAAUCAAAAACAAAACUUUCAACAACGGAUCUCUUGGUUCUGGCAUCGAUGAAGAACGCAGCGAAAUGCGAUAAGUAAUGCGAAUUGCAGAAUUUCCGUGAGUCAUCGAAUCUUUGAACGCACAUUGCGCCCUUUGGUAUUCCGAAGGGCAUGCCUGUUCGAGCGUCAUUAUCCUCUCUCAAACCCCCGGGUUUGGUGUUGGACCGCGUUGGACCGCCUCCAUGGCCAACUGGUCUCAAAGACAAUGACGGCGUCCCAGGGACCCUCUUCGCACUGAGUUCUCCGGAGCACGCGUAGAGUUUCAAGGGCCCAGGGACCCGGUCGCCUCUAAUCUAUUUUUCAGGUUGACCUCGGAUCAGGUAGGAAUACCCGCUGAACUUAA